UAGGGAAUCUUCCGCAAUGGACGCAAGUCUGACGGAGCAACGCCGCGUGAGUGAAGAAGGAUUUCGGUUCGUAAAACUCUGUUGUUAGAGAAGAACAGCGCAUAGAGUAACUGUUAUGCGUGUGACGGUAUCUAACCAGAAAGCCACGGCUAACUACGUGCCAGCAGCCGCGGUAAUACGUAGGUGGCAAGCGUUGUCCGGAUUUAUUGGGCAUAAAGCGAGCGCAGGCGGUCAAUUAAGUCUGAUGUGAAAGCCCCCGGCUCAACCGGGGAGGGUCAUUGGAAACUGGUUGACUUGAGUGCAGAAGAGGAGAGUGGAAUUCCAUGUGUAGCGGUGAAAUGCGUCGAUAUAUGGAGGAACACCAGUGGCGAAGGCGACUCUCUGGUCUGUAGCUGACGCUGAGGCUCGAAAGCGUGGGUAGCAAACAGG
Molecule: ribosomal RNA, 429 nt
Filed under: Bacteroidota bacterium
Lineage: Bacteria; Pseudomonadati; Bacteroidota
Description: Bacteroidetes bacterium partial 16S ribosomal RNA
Rfam family: Bacterial small subunit ribosomal RNA
Source: RNAcentral